Molecule: ribosomal RNA, 292 nt
Filed under: uncultured bacterium
Lineage: Bacteria
Description: partial 16S ribosomal RNA
Rfam family: Bacterial small subunit ribosomal RNA
Source: RNAcentral
GUGUCAGCAGCCGCGGUAAGACGAACCGAGCGAACGUUGUUCGGAAUCACUGGGCUUAAAGGGCGCGUAGGCGGGGUCAUAAGUCUGUGGUGAAAUCCUCCGGCUCAACCGGAGAACUGCCUCGGAUACUGUGGCUCUCGAGGGUGGUAGGGGUAUGCGGAACUAUCGGUGGAGCGGUGAAAUGCGUUGAUAUCGAUAGGAACUCCGGUGGCGAAGGCGGCAUACUGGACCACUUCUGACGCUGAGGCGCGAAAGCCAGGGGAGCAAACGGGAUUAGAUACCCCAGUAGUCC